GGCCAGAUGACGACGCCGAUCAGACUACUCCUGGACUUCCCUGGCACUGGCAGGUAGUUCCAAGGCCCCCCUAAGCUCCUCCUUUUGGUGAUGUUAGCCGUGAAACUGCAGGUGCUAUACUUGCAAAGGUGGAGAUGUAAGAGCAAAGAAAAAAGGGGGUAAACUAGCUCGUACUGGAGAACUAAACUGAACUUCUCUAUUUAUCGAGCAUAUCAUUGUACCACGGGAAGACUUCCCCCAAGAUCAAUGCACAUGUAUAUCCGAAAUCGGGGAGUCAAGAACAAUCUUAAUCCAAGGGUGAGGUGCCGUGACUGCUGAUAAAGUACGUCUGUCACACCAGGAAAUGUAAUUUUUCAGUUGCAUAUAGCAAGGAAGGUCAAUUUGACACAGCUACGCUGCCAUUCGCCUCUCCCUUCUCCCGUGGAAAUGUAGUUGAUGUUCCUCAGAUCUUCAAGUUGGUGCCCCUGUUUGAUGAAACAUUUUAGUGAGAUUAUGUGGAUCUUUGGGGAAAUCUAUUUCUGCUUCUUGAUGGAAUUCUUUUCAUCCAGUAGUUAAGAAGCAAACAAAUGGCUUGAACAGUUCUCUUUGUUGCAUGACAAGUUUUCUUCCUGUGGAAGAUAUUGUGUAUCUUCCAUCUAGCAUCGUAAAAAGGCGGUCUUAGAUUGCUCUGUACUAAUGAUUGUCUUGAGGGCUUAUUUCAUUCAUACUGCUCUGAAUUAAUCAUACUCUCCUGUUACCUCAUUACCUCAACCACGCAAGCAGCGGUGACGCCGGACAGGUCGCUCUUGCACCACCAGACUCCCUUCAGGGUAGUUACCCAUGGGCACACAAGGACGCUGAUCAUCAAGGAAGCACGCGCGCGCGCGGAGGCAGAUAGAUGGACGCGGUUCCUCCAUCCGCGGCUCUGCAGGCAGCGCCCAUGGUCCAAACUCGAAAUGUACAUCAAGAAACAAAAAUGUGAAAUCUGGCAUGAAUAGUGUAAGAAAAAGACAAAAUCAAC
Molecule: long non-coding RNA, 1000 nt
Organism: Triticum dicoccoides
Lineage: Eukaryota; Viridiplantae; Streptophyta; Magnoliopsida; Poales; Poaceae
Exons: 7
Source: RefSeq, a predicted model, not a curated record